Molecule: ribosomal RNA, 1282 nt
Filed under: Campylobacter coli
Lineage: Bacteria; Pseudomonadati; Campylobacterota; Epsilonproteobacteria; Campylobacterales; Campylobacteraceae
Description: partial 23S ribosomal RNA
Rfam family: Bacterial large subunit ribosomal RNA
Source: RNAcentral
UGGACUGCCUUUUGCAUAAUGAGCCUGCGAGUUGUGGUGUCUGGCAAGGUUAAGCAAACGCGAAGCCGUAGCGAAAGCGAGUCUGAAUAGGGCGCUUAGUCAGAUGCUGCAGACCCGAAACGAAGUGAUCUAUCCAUGAGCAAGUUGAAGCUAGUGUAAGAACUAGUGGAGGACUGAACCCAUAGGCGUUGAAAAGCCCCGGGAUGACUUGUGGAUAGGGGUGAAAGGCCAAUCAAACUUCGUGAUAGCUGGUUCUCUCCGAAAUAUAUUUAGGUAUAGCGUUGUGUCGUAAUAUAAGGGGGUAGAGCACUGAAUGGGCUAGGGCAUACACCAAUGUACCAAACCCUAUCAAACUCCGAAUACCUUAUAUGUAAUCACAGCAGUCAGGCGGCGAGUGAUAAAAUCCGUCGUCAAGAGGGAAACAACCCAGACUACCAGCUAAGGUCCCUAAAUCUUACUUAAGUGGAAAACGAUGUGAAGUUACUUAAACAACCAGGAGGUUGGCUUAGAAGCAGCCAUCCUUUAAAGAAAGCGUAAUAGCUCACUGGUCUAGUGAUUUUGCGCGGAAAAUAUAACGGGGCUAAAGUAAGUACCGAAGCUGUAGACUUGCGCACAACUUAGAUUAUUUAAGUUUAGAAUAUGAGAAACUAAGUUAUAUGUUUAGUUAUAUUUUUACUGAUUUUUAUAGAGUAAAGAUAGAAAUAAAACUUAGUAAAAUCAGUAAAAAUAUUCUUAGACUAAAGUUAAGUAGUUUAAGUUGUGUGCAAGUGGUAGGAGAGCGUUCUAUUUGCGUCGAAGGUAUACCGGUAAGGAGUGCUGGAGCGAAUAGAAGUGAGCAUGCAGGCAUGAGUAGCGAUAAUUAAUGUGAGAAUCAUUAACGCCGUAAACCCAAGGUUUCCUACGCGAUGCUCGUCAUCGUAGGGUUAGUCGGGUCCUAAGUCGAGUCCGAAAGGGGUAGACGAUGGCAAAUUGGUUAAUAUUCCAAUACCAACAUUAGUGUGCGAUGGAAGGACGCUUAGGGCUAAGGGGGCUAGCGGAUGGAAGUGCUAGUCUAAGGUCGUAGGAGGUUAUACAGGCAAAUCCGUAUAACAAUACUCCGAGAACUGAAAGGCUUUUUGAAGUCUUCGGAUGGAUAGAAGAACCCCUGAUGCCGUCGAGCCAAGAAAAGUUUCUAAGUUUAGCUAAUGUUGCCCGUACCGUAAACCGACACAGGUGGGUGGGAUGAGUAUUCUAAGGCGCGUGGAAGAACUCUCUUUAAGGAACUCUGCAAAAUAGCACCGUA